AGCGAACGCUGGCGGCAGGCCUAACACAUGCAAGUCGAACGAACUCUUCGGAGUUAGUGGCGGACGGGUGUGUAACACGUGGGAACGUUCCUUUUGGUUCGGCAUAACUCAGGGAAACUUGUGCUAAUACCGAAUGUGCCCUUCGGGGGAAAGAUUUAUCGCCAUUAGAGCGGCCCGCGUCUGAUUCGCUAGUUGGUUAGGUAACGGCUCACCAAGGCGACGAUCAGUAGCUGGUCUGAGAGGAUGACCAGCCACACUGGGACUGAGACACGGCCCAGACUCCUACGGGAGGCAGCAGUGGGGAAUCUUGCGAAAUGGGCGAAAGCAUGACGCAGCCAUGCCGGGUGAAUGAUGAAGGUCUGAGGAUUGUAAAAUUCUUUCAACGGGGACGAUAAUGACGGUACCCGGAGAAGAAGCCCCGGCUAACUUCGUG
Molecule: ribosomal RNA, 433 nt
Filed under: uncultured bacterium
Lineage: Bacteria
Description: partial 16S ribosomal RNA
Rfam family: Bacterial small subunit ribosomal RNA
Source: RNAcentral